RNAcentral lists this ribosomal RNA (150 nucleotides) under Triticum aestivum (bread wheat). Its description in RNAcentral is "partial small subunit ribosomal RNA". Lineage: Eukaryota; Viridiplantae; Streptophyta; Magnoliopsida; Poales; Poaceae. The record is from RNAcentral.
AUGGUGGGCUUCUUGUUGUAGCGGGCGAGCUUGGCGGCCUCGCCGGCGAGCUUCUCGAAGAUGUCGUUGAUGAAGGAGUUCAUGAUGGACAUGGCCUUGGAGGAGAUGCCGAUGUCGGGGUGCACCUGCUUCAGCACCUUGAAGAUGUAG